This 2109-nucleotide ribosomal RNA is filed under the name Triticum aestivum (bread wheat). Its description in RNAcentral is "partial small subunit ribosomal RNA". Lineage: Eukaryota; Viridiplantae; Streptophyta; Magnoliopsida; Poales; Poaceae. The record is from RNAcentral.
AUGGCGCGGGAGGAGGAAGGACCCGCAAUGAUGGACGCCGCGGGGCGACGCCUCCGCGUGGUCUCCGCGCACCUAGAGCCGCAGGCCGGCGCCACCGCGAGCCUCGCCGCUAACCCCACCGCCGGCGAGUACGCCCACGUGCAGGGCUACAGCGUUGUUCUGCCUGAAAAGUUGCAAACUGGAAAGUGGAAUGUGUACCGAUCUGCAGAGUCACCUCUGCGUUUAAUUAACAGAUUUCCUGCUACUCCAGACAUUGGAACACUGCAUGAUAAUUUUGUGUAUGCAGUUGAGACUUUUACAGAUUGUAGAUAUCUGGGUACAAGAGUGUGCGCUGAUGGAGCAGUUGGAGAUUACAAAUGGAUGACGUAUGGAGAAGCUAGUACAAGCAGGUCUGCAAUAGGUUCUGGUCUUAUUUAUCAUGGAACAUCUGAAGGUGCACGCAUUGGUCUGUAUUUUAUAAACAGACCUGAGUGGAUCAUAGUUGAUCAUGCUUGUGCUGCAUAUUCAUAUGUAUCUGUGCCACUUUAUGAUACUCUUGGUCCAGAUGCAGUUCAGUUCAUUGUGAACCAUGCAACAGUAGAAGCUAUUUUCUGUGUGCCUCAAACGCUAAGCACUCUGCUAAGCUUCCUAACUCAAAUGCCAUGUGUUCGUCUUAUAGUGGUAGUUGGUGGAGACAAUGCAAAUAUGCCAUCUGCAACAGCAGCUGCUGGAGUGGAAAUCAUAACUUACUCCAGGUUACACAGCCAGGGAAAGAUGAGUUCUCAAACUUACCGUCCUCCAAAACCUGAAGAUGUUGCCACUAUCUGCUACACGAGUGGCACUACUGGCACACCAAAGGGAGCUGUUCUUUCUCAUGAGAACUUAAUAGCGAAUGUUGCAGGAUCAAGCUUGGGCGUUAAGUUUUACCCCUCCGACGUGUAUAUCUCAUAUCUACCUUUAGCUCACAUCUAUGAGAGAGCUAACCAAAUUGCACUGCUUCACUAUGGUGUUGCCAUUGGAUUUUACCAAGGGGAUAAUUUGAAGCUGAUGGAUGAUUUGGCUGCUUUGAGACCAACCGUAUUCGCAAGUGUUCCCCGGCUAUAUAACAGAAUUUAUUCUGCAAUCACAAAUGCUGUGAAGGAUUCCGGUGGGCUAAAAGAAAGAUUAUUCCGUACUGCGUACAACGCCAAGAGACAAGCACUUAUGAAUGGACGAAAUCCUUCCCCAAUGUGGGAUAAGUUGGUAUUUAAUAAAAUAAAAGCUAGGCUUGGUGGACGAGUGAGGCUUAUGACUUCAGGCGCUUCUCCAUUGUCAGCAGAUGUAAUGGAAUUCCUAAGAAUAUGCUUUGGUGGUGAGGUUCUUGAAGGCUAUGGAAUGACAGAGACAUCUUGUGUCAUCACUACAAUGGAUAUUGGUGACAAAUUAAUUGGUCAUGUUGGAUCACCAAACCCUUCCUGUGAGGUUAAACUUGUGGAUGUCCCAGAAAUGAAUUACACUUCUGAGGAUCAACCAUAUCCUCGUGGAGAAAUCUGUGUUAGAGGACCUACAAUAUUCCGCGGUUACUAUAAAGACGAAGUCCAAACAAGAGAUGUCAUUGACAAUGAUGGCUGGUUGCACACUGGAGACAUAGGUUUGUGGCUGCCUGGAGGGCGUCUAAAAAUUAUAGAUAGGAAAAAGAACAUUUUCAAGUUGGCUCAAGGAGAGUACAUAGCUCCAGAGAAGAUUGAGAAUGUGUACGCUAAGUGCAAGUUCAUUGCUCAAUGCUUUAUAUAUGGUGAUAGUUUCAACUCUUUUCUAGUUGCCAUUGUAGCAGUUGAACCAGAUGUUUUGAAGGCUUGGGCUGCAUCAGAAGGAAUACAAAGCGAGGAUUUAAGACAGCUUUGUGCUGACCCAAGAGCAAAAGCUGCUGUCUUGGCUGACAUGGAUUCUAUUGGAAAGGAAGCACAGCUAAGAGGUUUUGAAUUCGCCAAAGCUGUUACUCUUGUUGCUGAACCAUUCACAGUAGAAAAUGGUCUCCUCACCCCCACGUUCAAGGUCAAAAGACCGCAAGCUAAGGCCUAUUUCGCGAAAGAACUCGCAGAUAUGUAUGCACAGCUGCGUGACGCCGAAUCAGCUAGGCAGAAGUUGUAA